AAAAAAAAUUAUAUAAAGUAGAAAAGAAAAAAAAAACAGAUUUUAUUAAAAAAAAAAGACAAAAAUUAAAGUAAUAAAAAUAAAAAUUAUAGUGUUAAAGUGAAUUUAAGAGUGAGUACUUACAUAUAGAGCUAGCCAAAUAAUCCAAGAAAUUGAAGAGUUGAAAGAAGGAAGGGAUGAGGUGAGGUAAAUGAGUGAAAUUGCAGGAAAAAAAUGGCUUCUCAGUGUCGGCAGUGUUGUGAAAGUGGGAAAAUGAGAGAGAUGCAGCUGGUUUAAAAAGAUUUUAGGUUUAGAAAGUGAAAUUACCAUUAUACGCACAAAAUUUUUCAAAUUUUCAAGGGGCCCAGUGCCUCCCUUGGCCCUACACUGGCUCCGUCAGUGAGACUCUAUUGAAGUCUUUUCUUUAUCCCAAUUUUCUGAAUUAUGUUUAGGCUAUUUGAAUUGGCAUAUACAGCUAUACUCUAAGGCACUUGCUUUUUGGUUGCAAUCUUUUUUAAUCAUAACUUCUAGUCACAUUUCUAGAAUGUAUUUUGAAUUG
Molecule: unclassified non-coding RNA, 538 nt
Filed under: Hevea brasiliensis (rubber tree)
Lineage: Eukaryota; Viridiplantae; Streptophyta; Magnoliopsida; Malpighiales; Euphorbiaceae
Source: RNAcentral